Molecule: long non-coding RNA, 1424 nt
Filed under: Piliocolobus tephrosceles (Ugandan red Colobus)
Lineage: Eukaryota; Metazoa; Chordata; Mammalia; Primates; Cercopithecidae
Description: lncRNA (ENSPTEG00000000874.1)
Source: RNAcentral
AUAUAAUUAAAAAAUAAUUUUUUUUUUUUUUAAUUUUAUAACAUAUAAAAAAUGAAAACAGACAUAAAAGUUAUAGAAUAUAAAAAAAUAUGUUAUUAUUUGAGUUAACGUUUUCAUAAAGCUUUUUUAUUACGUCACAAGAGUUUUAAAGUAUUGUUUUUUUAUGACAUAACAUACUAUAUAUAUAUAUAUAUAUAUAUAUAUGUAUUUAUGUCCUUAAGAACAUACAUAAACAUAUUGGCCUUGCACAUAUUUUAAAGUGAUUAUAUACAUAUAGUAAAGUGUAUAAGUAAAAAUAUUUAAUAAAAUAAUGUACUAGUUUAUUUUUUUUAAAAGCAUUUAUAUAUAUUUAUAUUUUUUCAUUUAUUUGAUUAACAUAUAGAAAAGUGUAAAUUAUAAGUUCCUAUUUAAUGCGUCUUUUUUGUUUUUACCAACAGAAUAAAAAUAAUGUGUUUAUUUAUCUCAUUUUAGCAAUAGAAGACAGAUACACAUACAUAAAUAUAUGUAUGUAUGCAUCAUGUUAUAUUUAUUUUUUUUUUAUUGAAACAUAUUAAGACAUUGUUUAAUAUUACAUUUUUUAUCAUUAUGAAAAUGUUAUUUACUUCUUUAAGUUUUAUAUUUUUAUCUAUUAUCACACUUAGUUCCCUAACCUUGCAGUAAACAUUUUUAUGACUUCAAAAUUUGAUUAUUUUUUCAUUUUAUUUCUUUUUUUGCUUUUUUGAUUGUUAACAUUUAAUUGAUGUAGUAUAAUCACAAAAAAAUAAAAUAAAAUAAAAUUAUAACAGACAUUUCGUAUAUUUUAAAACAGCUAUACAUAUAUUAUCGAAAAAUUAGUUAAUAGAAUACUAUCAAGGUUAGUUCAUUAUGUAAACAUAUACUUUGUUGUGUUUAUUUGUAGAAAGGUAAUACCAACUAUUCGUUGGGGGCAAAAUUCAUAUAAGAUUACAUUAGUUGUUAUAAUUCCAUCAUUAAAAAAGAACGAUGUAAAAUUUACAGAAAAUAAUUUGCAUUUAUCUGCUGUUGAUGAAAAGGGGGAAGAAGUCGAUCUAAAUAUAGAUUUCCUAAGACCAAUAAAGCCAGAGGAUAGCACUUAUAAUGUUACAGAGCGAGGUUUGCAACUAAAAAUUAUGAAGCAAAAUAAGGAACCAUGUUGGAAACGUUUAACAAAAGAAGAUAAAAAAAUUAAUUAUCUUUUGAAAGACAAAAAGAUGGGUGAUCCAAAUGAUUGUGAAGAUGCUAAGCAUCAAUGGUUGCAGGAUUAUAAGUUUUACAUACGUAAAAAGAAUCCCAAAAAAGAGGAAAAGAAAACAUCUGAUGGGCCAAUGGAUGAUAUAAUUAAAUCAUUGAGCGACAUUCACGGUAGCUUUUCUGUACAUGAAUAUUAAAUAUAAAAGGUAAAAUAAAAAAAAAAAUGUACAUAUACA